AAAGAAGCGGCGUGAGAGCAACUUGGGAAAAAAAAGUGUCUGGUCGAGGGCAGCAGGAAGUUUUCUGCAGGUUCCUUCCUGAGGAAGGAGGGACCUGUUCGCAGUCAACAACGACAGCAGCGACAACGCCGACACCGAGCCGGUCCAGAUGCACGGGUCACUGACUGGUCUUGAUCCAAAUACAUUAGAAUGAUGGAGCCAGACUCGAGACCCGAAGGACGCAGACUGAUUGGACGAGAAGAAGAGAGGGGGAGAGUUACAGAUCAGUCAGCUACCGUGGUGAAGCUGUAGUUUGCAGAGAGGUUGUGAAGAAUCAAGGACUGCAAAAAGCUAUCAGAAGUAAGAUGCAACAAAAAUGUGACAGAGGAAAAAAAAAAGAAAAGUUAACUCCAGUGAGACAUUGUCAUCUGACGUCGGUCUGACAAAGAUCGUCUCAGCUUCCUGCGACAGACUGUCCAAGAUGAAUCCCGCCUCUCGCCCGGAACGUAGCUGGAGAUAGACACCAGCAACCCUCCCGACCCCAUUAGGGACAAGAGUGAACAGAAAAUGGAUGGAUGGAUGGAUCUCAGCUUCUAGGACUCUCCGAUUAGUGGUACAAUUCACGGGGAACCCUGCGAUGGUAAAUCAUUGACACCUCCAGUUCCAUAAUUCACAGCCGGUACGAGGUUCUGUCGGUGAAAAUGUUGGUUUAUACCCAACAUACCAUCUAUUCUGGCGUUGACAUAAUUCACCUUUAGAUUCAUCCAUCAGGACUUCUGGAAACAGUUCUCUCAAGUUUACCUGUUCAUGCUCUCACCUGCUUGUUCACCCUCCAAUGGAUCAUCAAUCAUCGAUCACAGAGCAGCCGCCAGCCUCGGUGAUCCCUGCAUCGGUAAGAUCCGCCCUCCAGGAACCUUCAGACUUCAUCUUUAUCACUUUUUGUAAUUAAAACUAGUUUUGCAUUAGUUCUCCUGAUGCAUUGAGUCUGGACUGAACCAUGGCAAGCCAAGUAAAGGAUAUUAAUCAUCAAACUGGAGUCUGAUAACUUCAUCCUGGGUCACUUCUUAAAAUUUAAAGCUGCAAAAUAUUUCACUCUCUCUACAUUGAUAUGGGAUGAUAUAACAUUCCAGUUUCACAUCACUGUGUUUUAACAAAAAAUCUAAAGCUAAAUUGGUAACAUAUUGCUUUAUUGUGAAAUGGAAAGGCAUCUAUUGAUUUCUUCUACUGCUAAAAUCAAAUAGCAUAUUAAAUGCUGAAACUAUAAUAAUGUUACCAAACAUUUGUUUUCUAGAUUUUGAAACACAAAAACAGAGAAUAAACAGCUGACAAAUUACACAUAUGUUUAUGAAUAUCAACUUUUUGUGCGAUUACAUUUUUAUUGCUACGGAUGUUAAAUUUGUUAUAUGAAUUAUUUCAUAUUCAUUCAGCAUCGGGUGAUCUAGAUGCAGCGCUA
Gambusia affinis (western mosquitofish) is the source of this 1432-nucleotide long non-coding RNA. RefSeq lists it as uncharacterized. The record is from RefSeq and is a predicted model, not a curated record. Lineage: Eukaryota; Metazoa; Chordata; Actinopteri; Cyprinodontiformes; Poeciliidae. The transcript has 5 exons.